Molecule: microRNA precursor, 84 nt
Filed under: Bombyx mori (domestic silkworm)
Lineage: Eukaryota; Metazoa; Arthropoda; Insecta; Lepidoptera; Bombycidae
Description: mir-2807 microRNA precursor family
Rfam family: mir-2807 microRNA precursor family
Source: Rfam by way of RNAcentral
UUAACUCAACUUUGUAUGGAGCUAGUACGUUUGCUUACGUUUGCCGCUAGGGGCGCUUUUCCAACUGUAUACAAAUUUGAGUUA